AUCCAGCCGAUGAGUGCCAAAUAGAAUGAAGCGCGCGUCCUGGAU
Molecule: non-coding RNA, 45 nt
Organism: Schistosoma mansoni
Lineage: Eukaryota; Metazoa; Platyhelminthes; Trematoda; Strigeidida; Schistosomatidae
Source: Rfam